RNAcentral lists this transfer RNA (72 nucleotides) under Sphaerodactylus townsendi. RNAcentral describes it as "tRNA-Glu". The record is from RNAcentral. Lineage: Eukaryota; Metazoa; Chordata; Lepidosauria; Squamata; Sphaerodactylidae.
GGGAAUAUGGCUCAGUGGCAAAGCAGCUGCUUCUCACACAGAUGGUUCCAAGUUCGAUCCCUGCCAGUUCCA